RNAcentral lists this ribosomal RNA (386 nucleotides) under uncultured bacterium. RNAcentral describes it as "bacterial SSU rRNA". It matches the Rfam family "Bacterial small subunit ribosomal RNA", at positions 29 to 416 of the family's 1533-position model. The record is from RNAcentral.
AUUGAACGCUGGCGGCAUGCCUUACACAUGCAAGUCGAACGGCAGCACGGGGCAACCUGGUGGCGAGUGGCGAACGGGUGAGUAAUGCAUCGGAACGUGCCAUUGAGUGGGGGAUAACGUAGCGAAAGUUGCGCUAAUACCGCAUAUUCUGUGAGCAGGAAAGCAGGGGGACCGCAAGGCCUUGCGUUCUGGGAGCGGCCGAUGUCGGAUUAGCUAGUUGGUGGGGUAAAAGCCUACCAAGGCGACGAUCCGUAGCGGGUCUGAGAGGAUGAUCCGCCACACUGGGACUGAGACACGGCCCAGACUCCUACGGGAGGCAGCAGUGGGGAAUUUUGGGACAAUGGGCGGAAGCCUGAUCCAGCCAUGCCGCGUGAGUGAAGAAGGCC